GCUCAGUAACACGUGGACAACCUACCCUUGGGUCCGGCAUAAUCCUGGGAAACUGGGAAUAAUUCCGGAUAGGUCACCGAUGCUGGAAUGCGCGGUGGCCGAAAGCUCCGGCGCCCGAGGAUGGGUCUGCGGCCUAUCAGGGUUGUAGUGGGUGUAACGUACCUACUAGCCUACGACGGGUACGGGUUGUGAGAGCAAGAGCCCGGAGAUGGAUUCUGAGACACGAAUCCAGGCCCUACGGGGUGCAGCAGGCGCGAAAACUUUACAAUGCGGGAAACCGUGAUAAGGGGAUCUCGAGUGCCAGCAUAUAAUGUUGGCUGUCCAGAUGCCUAAAAAGCAUCUGUUAGCAAGGGCCGGGCAAGACCGGUGCCAGCCGCCGCGGUAACACCGGCGGCCCGAGUGGUAACCGCUAUUAUUGGGUCUAAAGGGUCUGUAGCCGGCCAGGUAAGUCCCUUGGGAAAUCUGGCAGCUCAACUGUCAGGCUGCUAGGGGAUACUGUUUGGCUUGGGACCGGGAGAGGUGAGAGGUACCUUGGGGGUAGGGGUGAAAUCUUGUGAUCCUCGAGGGACCACCAGUGGCGAAGGCGUCUCACCAGAACGGGUCCGACGGUAAGGGACGAAAGCUAGGGGCACGAACCGGAUUAGAUACCCGGGUAGUCCUAGCCGUAAACGAUGCUCGCUAGGUGUCAGUCACGGUGCGACCGUGAUUGGUGCCGUAGGGAAGCCGUGAAGCGAGCCACCUGGGAAGUAUGGCCGCAAGGCUGAAACUUAAAGGAAUUGGCGGGGGAGCAC
RNAcentral lists this ribosomal RNA (791 nucleotides) under uncultured archaeon. RNAcentral describes it as "bacterial SSU rRNA". It matches the Rfam family "Archaeal small subunit ribosomal RNA", at positions 88 to 879 of the family's 1478-position model. The record is from RNAcentral.